This 496-nucleotide ribosomal RNA is filed under the name uncultured bacterium. RNAcentral's name for it is "partial 16S ribosomal RNA". It matches the Rfam family "Bacterial small subunit ribosomal RNA", at positions 28 to 506 of the family's 1533-position model. The record is from RNAcentral.
GAUGAGCGCUGGCGGCGUGCCUAAUACAUGCAAGUCGAGCGAACAGACGAGGAGCUUGCUCCUCUGACGUUAGCGGCGGACGGGUGAGUAACACGUGGAUAACCUACCUAUAAGACUGGGAUAACUUCGGGAAACCGGAGCUAAUACCGGAUAAUAUAUUGAACCGCAUGGUUCAAUAGUGAAAGACGGUUUUGCUGUCACUUAUAGAUGGAUCCGCGCCGCAUUAGCUAGUUGGUAAGGUAACGGCUUACCAAGGCAACGAUGCGUAGCCGACCUGAGAGGGUGAUCGGCCACACUGGACCUGAGACACGGUCCAGACUCCUACGGGAGGCAGCAGUAGGGAAUCUUCCGCAAUGGGCGAAAGCCUGACGGAGCAACGCCGCGUGAGUGAUGAAGGUCUUCGGAUCGUAAAACUCUGUUAUUAGGGAAGAACAAAUGUGUAAGUAACUAUGCACGUCUUGACGGUACCUAAUCAGAAAGCCACGGCUAACUACGU